CCUACGGGAGGCAGCAGUGGGGAAUAUUUCACAAUGGGGGACACCCUGCUGCAGCAACUCCGCGUGCGUGAAGACGGUUUUCGGAUUGUAAAGCUCUGUUAGCAGGGAAGAGGAAGGACGGUACCUGCAGAGGAAGCCACGGCUAACUGAGUGCCAGCAGCCGCGGUAAUACGUAGGUGGCAAGCGUUGUUCGGAAUAACUGGGCGUAAAGGAUGCGUAGGCGGUUAAAAAAGUUAUAUGUUAAAUAUUGAGGCUUAACCUGUAGAAAGCAUAUAAAACUGUUUAACUAGAGUGCAGGAGAGGUAAGUGGAAUUCCUAGUGUAGCGGUGAAAUGCGUAGAGAUGAGGAAGAACACCAGUGGCGAAGGCGACUUACGGGACUGUAACUGACGCUGAGGCAUGAGAGCAUGGGGAGCAAACAGGAUUAGAUACCCCGGUAGUC
RNAcentral lists this ribosomal RNA (441 nucleotides) under uncultured bacterium. RNAcentral's name for it is "partial 16S ribosomal RNA". It matches the Rfam family "Bacterial small subunit ribosomal RNA", at positions 338 to 795 of the family's 1533-position model. The record is from RNAcentral.